Molecule: unclassified non-coding RNA, 201 nt
Filed under: Hevea brasiliensis (rubber tree)
Lineage: Eukaryota; Viridiplantae; Streptophyta; Magnoliopsida; Malpighiales; Euphorbiaceae
Source: RNAcentral
GAAAAAGCGAAUGGUAUUUUGGCUACACCCAAUCAAAAACUAUAAAGCCUCCUAGAGGGCACUAAUAACACUUGAGGGCUAGCCAAAGAGUGAUGUAUGCUGUUUUAUAUUUGGUAUCAAUGGGACCCACUCCGUGUAAGUAUCUAACUUAGCAGGUUUCAAUGAACUUCAGCCUGUUUCCGGGGACUCUUCUCUUGACAC